Molecule: transfer RNA, 73 nt
Filed under: Roseburia sp.
Lineage: Bacteria; Bacillati; Bacillota; Clostridia; Lachnospirales; Lachnospiraceae
Description: tRNA-Val
Rfam family: tRNA
About the family: Transfer RNA (tRNA) molecules are approximately 80 nucleotides in length. Their secondary structure includes four short double-helical elements and three loops (D, anti-codon, and T loops). Further hydrogen bonds mediate the characteristic L-shaped molecular structure. tRNAs have two regions of fundamental functional importance: the anti-codon, which is responsible for specific mRNA codon recognition, and the 3' end, to which the tRNAs corresponding amino acid is attached (by aminoacyl-tRNA synthetases). tRNAs cope with the degeneracy of the genetic code in two manners: having more than one tRNA (with a specific anti-codon) for a particular amino acid; and 'wobble' base-pairing, i.e. permitting non-standard base-pairing at the 3rd anti-codon position.
Source: RNAcentral
GAGAUCUUAGCUCAGCUGGGAGAGCAUCUGCCUUACAAGCAGAGGGUCAUAGGUUCGAGCCCUAUAGGUCCCA